This 274-nucleotide ribosomal RNA is filed under the name uncultured bacterium. Its description in RNAcentral is "partial 16S ribosomal RNA". It matches the Rfam family "Bacterial small subunit ribosomal RNA", at positions 523 to 796 of the family's 1533-position model. The record is from RNAcentral.
AUACGGAGGGGGCUAGCGUUGUUCGGAAUUACUGGGCGUAAAGCGCGCGUAGGCGGCGCACGCAGUCAGAGGUGAAAGGCCUGGGCUCAACCCAGGAACUGCCUUUGAUACUGGUGUGCUAGAGUCCGGGAGAGGGUAGCGGAAUUCCCAGUGUAGAGGUGAAAUUCGUAGAUAUUGGGAAGAACACCGGUUGCGAAGGCGGCUACCUGGACCGGUACUGACGCUGAGGUGCGAAAGCGUGGGGAGCAAACAGGAUUAGAAACCCCAGUAGUCC